GAUGAACGCUGGCGGCGUGCCUAAUACAUGCAAGUCGAGCGAACAGACGAGGAGCUAGCUCCUCUGACGUUAGCAGCGGACGGGUGAGUAACACGUGGAUAACCUACCUAUAAGACUGGGAUAACUUCGGGAAACCGGAGCUAAUACCGGAUAAUAUAUUGAACCGCAUGGUUCAAUAGUGAAAGACGGUUUUGCUGUCACUUAUAGAUGGAUCCGCGCCGCAUUAGCUAGUUGGUAAGGUAACGGCUUACCAAGGCAACGAUGCGUAGCCGACCUGAGAGGGUGAUCGGCCACACUGGAACUGAGACACGGUCCAGACUCCUACGGGAGGCAGCAGUAGGGAAUCUUCCGCAAUGGGCGAAAGCCUGACGGAGCAACGCCGCGUGAGUGAUGAAGGUCUUCGGAUCGUAAAACUCUGUUAUUAGGGAAGAACAAAUGUGUAAGUAACUAUGCACGUCUUGACGGUACCUAAUCAGAAAGCCACGGCUAACUACGUG
RNAcentral lists this ribosomal RNA (497 nucleotides) under uncultured bacterium. RNAcentral's name for it is "partial 16S ribosomal RNA". It matches the Rfam family "Bacterial small subunit ribosomal RNA", at positions 28 to 507 of the family's 1533-position model. The record is from RNAcentral.